UCCAAGCUCCCAUAGUGGAUAGACCACCUUCGAAUUCAUGGGAUUUAUCGUUGGUCAAGCUCUCCAUCUAAUCCUCGGUCAUCCACGAGCAUGCCUCUUCUUCCUCUCCAUGCUAAUGUGAAUUUCCAUUACUAAGAUCCUAUGCUGAGUCGCGAGGGUCUCUCCCAGGAUAACCUUGCAAUCCUUGCACAACCCUCUACCACACCUUCUGAGGAGAAGUUAAUCAAUGAGAUUCUUCACCGUCGAACUCUAGAAAGUAACCAUAUGAUCCCCCCUCUACGGAAAAUUUGAG
RNAcentral lists this long non-coding RNA (292 nucleotides) under Nicotiana benthamiana. RNAcentral's name for it is "long non-coding RNA (NBEN_LNC014870)". The record is from RNAcentral. Lineage: Eukaryota; Viridiplantae; Streptophyta; Magnoliopsida; Solanales; Solanaceae.